AACGAACGCUGGCGGCAUGCCUAACACAUGCAAGUCGAACGAGACCUUCGGGUCUAGUGGCGCACGGGUGCGUAACGCGUGGGAACCUGCCCUUAGGUUCGGAAUAACUCCCCGAAAGGGGUGCUAAUACCGGAUAAUGUCUUCGGACCAAAGAUUUAUCGCCUUUGGAUGGGCCCGCGUUGGAUUAGCUAGUUGGUAGGGUAAAAGCCUACCAAGGCGACGAUCCAUAGCUGGUCUGAGAGGAUGAUCAGCCACACUGGGACUGAGACACGGCCCAGAAUCCUACGGGAGGCAGCAGUGGGGAAUAUUGGACAAUGGGCGAAAGCCUGAUCCAGCAAUGCCGCGUGAGUGAUGAAGGCCUUAGGGUUGUAAAGCUCUUUUACCCGUGAUGAUAAUGACAGUACCGGGAGAAUAAGCUCCGGCUAACUCCGUG
RNAcentral lists this ribosomal RNA (433 nucleotides) under uncultured bacterium. RNAcentral describes it as "partial 16S ribosomal RNA". It matches the Rfam family "Bacterial small subunit ribosomal RNA", at positions 29 to 507 of the family's 1533-position model. The record is from RNAcentral.